RNAcentral lists this unclassified non-coding RNA (263 nucleotides) under plant metagenome. RNAcentral's name for it is "partial contains small subunit ribosomal RNA, internal transcribed spacer 1, and 5.8S ribosomal RNA". The record is from RNAcentral.
UUUCCGUAGGUGAACCUGCGGAAGGAUCAUUAUUGUAUAACCGAGGUGCGAGGGCUGUCGCUGACCCGAAAGGUCGUGCACGCCCGAGUGCCCUCACACACAUCCAUCUCACCCCUAUGUGCACCACCGCGUGGGUCCCCCUUUGGCUUGUUCGGAGGGGGGCUUACGUUUUCACACAAACUCAGUAUGCAGUGUAGAAUGUAUUUUUUGUUUUUGCGAUCACGCAAUCAAUACAACUUUCAACAACGGAUCUCUUGGCUCCC